UCCAGUUCUGUCCGACCUCUCCCAGUAGCUGAAACCCUCUAAUCCAGGCAGCAAUCUGGUAAAAGAAAGACUGAAAUGGUUCAAGAAUGUGGUUCCCAACCUCAAGGGCAUUUGGAGGAUGGGCAUUAAGGGCUGUCUAGAUCCUGAGAAAAUGAUUAAAUACAAGAAGGGUUGAUGUUUAUCACUGCAACGACUGAUACGCUUGUCACCUUUGGAUUGCGUAAUCUAGCCACAGGGUGGUGCUGUGUUUUGUUCCAGUAAAUUGUUCAAAAUGUUUAUUUUUUUAAAAAUAUUUUUAU
Amblyraja radiata (thorny skate) is the source of this 299-nucleotide long non-coding RNA. RefSeq lists it as uncharacterized. Lineage: Eukaryota; Metazoa; Chordata; Chondrichthyes; Rajiformes; Rajidae. The transcript has 3 exons. The record is from RefSeq and is a predicted model, not a curated record.